This 331-nucleotide unclassified non-coding RNA is filed under the name Hevea brasiliensis (rubber tree). The record is from RNAcentral. Lineage: Eukaryota; Viridiplantae; Streptophyta; Magnoliopsida; Malpighiales; Euphorbiaceae.
GUUUUGACACAUUUUACGUUCAUGCCGCAGUAGCUGGGCUGUGUGGUGGAAUCAUCUGGUAAUGUUUCAUUAGCACGUUCCAGUUUUCCUUGUAUAGUCAUAGUAGUGGGAGUAUUUUUUUUUAACCCAAGAUGUAAGAAAUUGCAUUGCAAUGGUGGUGUUACAUAAGCUGAUGGAUGCUAAACUUUUGGAGCUGUACAGUAGCCACUAUUUUGUUGUCUUAGCACCAGAUUCCUAGGAAGCUUUUGACUGACUGGUUUCUUAAAAUAAUAUUUGUAAAGUUUAAGCUAUAUGGUCAAUUGAUCCAUAUUUCAAAAAAGGAGGAUAAAGA